GACGAACGCUGGCGGCGUGCCUCAUACAUGCAAGUCGAGCGAGAUGUAGCAAUACAUCUAGCGGCGGACGGGUGAGUAACACGUGGGCAACCUGCCUCAAAGACAGGGAUAACAAGUCGAAAGGCUUGCUAAUACCUGGUAAGCUCACGCCACCGAGUGGUGGAGUGAGAAAAGGAGUAAUCCGCUUUGAGAUGGGCCCGCGUCCCAUUAGCUAGUUGGUAGGGUAACGGCCUACCAAGGCGACGAUGGGUAGCCGACCUGAGAGGGUGAACGGCCACACUGGAACUGAGAAACGGUCCAGACUCCUACGGGAGGCAGCAGUAGGGAAUCUUCCGCAAUGGGCGAAAGCCUGACGGAGCAACGCCGCGUGAGUGAUGAAGGUCUUCGGAUCGUAAAGCUCUGUCUUCGGUGACGAAAAUGACGGUAGCCGAGGAGGAAGCCACGGCAAACUACGUGCCAGCAGCCGCGGUAAUACGUAGGUGGCAAGCGUUGUCCGGAAUUACUGGGCGUAAAGCGCGCGUAGACGGCUUAAUAAGUCAGAUGUGAAAGACCCGGGCUCAACCCGGGGGUUGCAUCUGAGACUGCUAAGCUUGAGUGCAGGAGAGGCAAGUGGAAUUCCCAGUGUAGCAGUGAAAUGCGUAGAUAUUGGGAGGAACACCAGUGGCGAAGGCGACUUGCUGGACUGUAACUGACGUUGAGGUGCGAAAGCUAGGGGAGCAAACGGGAUUAGAUACCCCGGUAGUCCUAGCCGUAAACGAUGGGUACUAGGUGUGGGAGGUAUCGACCCCUUCCGUGCCGGAGUGAACGCAAUAAGUACCCCGCCUGGGGAGUACGGCCGCAAGGUUGAAACUCAAGGGAAUUGACGGGGGCCCGCACAAGCAGUGGAGCAUGUGGUUUAAUUCGACGCAACCCGAAGAACCUUACCAGGGCUUGACAUCUACCUAAUCCCUUAGAGAUAGGGGAGUGCGUUUUCGGACGAAAGGUAAGACAGGUGGUGCAUGGUUGUCGUCAGCUCGUGUCGUGAGAUGUUGGGUUAAGUCCCGCAACGAGCGCAACCCUUGUGAUUAGUUGCCAGCGAGUAAAGUCGGGCACUCUAAUCAGACUGCCGGUGAUAAACCGGAGGAAGGUGGGGAUGACGUCAAAUCAUCAUGCCCUUUAUGUCCUGGGCCACACACGUGCUACAAUGGCCUGAACAACGGGAAGCAAGGCUGCGAAGCCAAGCGGAACCCUAAAAACAGGUCUCAGUUCGGAUUGCAGGCUGCAACUCGCCUGCAUGAAGCCGGAAUUGCUAGUAAUCGCGGAUCAGCAUGCCGCGGUGAAUACGUUCCCGGGCCUUGUACACACCGCCCGUCACACCACGAAAGUUGGCAACACCCGAAGUCGGUGAGGUAACCUGAAAAGGAGCUAGCCGCCGAAGGUGGGGUCAGUAAUUGGGGUG
Molecule: ribosomal RNA, 1438 nt
Filed under: uncultured bacterium
Lineage: Bacteria
Description: bacterial SSU rRNA
Rfam family: Bacterial small subunit ribosomal RNA
Source: RNAcentral